RNAcentral lists this ribosomal RNA (285 nucleotides) under Haementeria officinalis (Mexican leech). Its description in RNAcentral is "partial 28S ribosomal RNA". It matches the Rfam family "Eukaryotic large subunit ribosomal RNA", at positions 711 to 964 of the family's 3401-position model. The record is from RNAcentral. Lineage: Eukaryota; Metazoa; Annelida; Clitellata; Rhynchobdellida; Glossiphoniidae.
AAGGCGAAACGAAAGUGAAGGCCGUUCCCGAGAACGGCUCGGGCGGGAUCCGCGGAGGAGAGAUCCGCCGCGGCGCACCNCCGGCCNGUCUCGGCCGCNACGUCGGCGAGGCGGAGCANGAGCGNNCGCGUUGGGACCCGAAAGAUGGUGAACUAUGCCCGAGCAGGACGAAGCCAGAGGAAACUCUGGUGGAGGUCCGCAGCGAUUCUGACGUGCAAAUCGAUCGUCGAACUUGGGUAUAGGGGCGAAAGACUAAUCGAACCGUCUAGUAGCUGUUCCUUCCGA